Molecule: non-coding RNA, 6779 nt
Organism: Camellia sinensis
Lineage: Eukaryota; Viridiplantae; Streptophyta; Magnoliopsida; Ericales; Theaceae
Source: RefSeq, a predicted model, not a curated record
CUCUCUGUCUCUCUCUAUAUAUAUUGGCAUUCAUUGACAAUAUGUAUAUAUUGUUAUAUGUUACCUCUAAUUCUCUGUUUCAUAGUUGUGUCCUAGAAAUCUAUACUUUUCCUUUCAUGAUUCAAUAAUUGGGUUUCAAUAAUUAGCCACAAGGACAGUUGAUUCCUUGUGAUUUCUAGCUUUAAAAAUAGUGAAGGAGAAAGUAGGAAUUGUGGCUUGAUGUGUUAACUAUGUAGUGUUGAGUUCUUGUAUCUAAAGUGGUGUGUGUAGUGUGUUUUUGUGAAUUAUGUUUUGGGGUUUUUGAACAAUUAGGUUGUACUUGAGUUGAGUUUCUGAUGAAAUUUUGUACAUAAGCCAAUGGAAGCUGCACAGCCUUUAAGUUUUAAAGGGGAAAAGAAGAACCUCAUUUUGGGUUAUUUUAUUUUUAUUGGUUCCAGAGUUAAUUGAAUGCACAGAAGAUAAUGGUAUUACGGUUCAAUUCUGGUUGAUCAGUUGUUUUAACAAUUUACCCUUUAUCUGGUUUUUCUCCAGUUUGUUGACGAUACAUAUUUUUAACCAUAAGAUGAAAUAAAUUAUAAUAUAGAUAUUGAGAAAGUAAUACCAAAAUUUGUCCGAAGCAUUCUCACAUGAAAUUGUUUUAAUCUAAACUCUAAAGUAAGAAUAGGCAUUUUUUAUCCAAAUAAAACUCUUUUGAGCUUAAUGCAAUAAAUUGCUUUGAAAUAUAACUGUCACAAUAAUGUGGGACCAUAAAAAUUUUUAUUUUUUAUAUUACAGUUAAUUAUGAUAGUAAGCGAGAAAACCAUGGGCACAAUGUUGGUAAUCAAUCCACUAAUCAAGAAGCAAUUACAAUGGUACAAGAGAGAGGACCUAAAACGAAUGCUUACGGUACUAGCUACAACCCAAAAACACCGGUUUGAUCUCCACAUCACAAGUGGCACUAUUCACAAUAUGCCAAAGAUGGAUGGAUGGUGGUAGAAAAACUUUAUUGGUAAACAAACUCAACUCCAAUACGACAUGUGACACCCUUACCAGCUGGGCAUAUAUGAAAGUUAUGUUACAAGAACUCUUCAAAAUAAAUCAAAUAUCCAUAUCGGACACUCGACACUUGGACAAGGGCGUGGGAUAUAUGUUUGAUGCUUUUCAUCGGACACAUAUUUAUAUUUAACACUAUAUGUUAUAUACAAUACCAUUUUAUCUCAUAUAAUAGAUUAAAAAAACUAUACAUAUAUGAUCAUAUUUUGUUGAGUCCACAUAUGCUCAUUUUUUGUUGGGUCCGCAUAUCCUUAAAUUUGAGAUUGAAAAUGCUAGAGACUCACAAUUUAGAUCCCUAAAUUCAUCGACAAGGAAGUGGGGCCCUAUAUUAUUGAGUGUGACCCUAUAUCAUUGAGCGUGACAAAUCAAAAGUUGACACCUAUCAUUUCACAUCAUUGUGCGUCAAAUUACGGGAGCUUUCUUAGGUGUCUCAAACCAUGUUUUUAAAGGUGAAUGCAUAAGUCGAGGUAUUUUAUCUUUCAUGAGGCGAGGCGUAAGCCUAAAGGCAUCGAGACGUAAACAUUUUGAAUUUUAAAUUUUAAUACUUACUAGACAAAUAAAAUAUUUUAAAAUGGUGAAAAAAUAAAUAUAAAGUUGUAAAUACUUUUCUUCGUAAGGCGUCAAACAUUUCACUGCAGAGAAUGAAACUUGCCUUCAUUGAAAGUGAAAUUAACAUUCUUAGCUUUAGUGGUUAAGCUUCUCACUCGAGCAUUAACUUAGUAUUUUUUUUCUUGAUUGGUCAUUUACUUACUUUUUUCUAUAGAAUAUAUAGUCGUAAAAGGGGUUCAUUCUUAGUUUAUGUUUAAACCAUCUAUCUACUAGACUAAGUUUAACAGGUGCCUAAGACAACCUUUUCACAUGCGUACUUCUCAUAUGCUUAUACGCAAAGGCGUACAAAGUGCACCUAAGGCGCAUGGUCAUAUUGUGAUGCGCAAGACUUUGGAGAGUAUAGCCUAAAAAUCAAAGCCUUAAUGUGUUUUACCUUUGCCUCGAGGCGAGGUGAGCAUCAAGGUGAGCCUCAGUAAAGCCUUUUAAAACUUUGGUCUCAAACACUUUCCAUUGAGAUUUGAUGGAUCCGACUUCGAGAUAUGCACCCACACCUUACACUCGUACAUGUGUCAAUGCAACAUAGUAUGAAAGCAAGGGCAACUUAAGAUUCUAAAGCACGAUAAAUAACUAUGGUAUCUCCCAAAGAGAAGAGAAGAACACAGGAGAUAGUUCUGUUCUUUUUAUCUCACACACAAAAUGAAAUUGCACCCCUCUCACUCAUGUCCUUCAACACAUUACAUAUCUACAUUGGAAACGCAUGCCAAACUUUCCUAAUUCCUUGCAAGUCUGUGUGUUCAAGUGAUUAAAAAAUUUGGAACCUAGUUCCCAUUUAGGUUUGCAAACUUAAAAAAAAAAUCCAAAAUUUUGAUUUAUUUGUGCCAAACAUAUUUUCACGAAGGUGAAAUGCAUUGAAAUACUAAUAAAUUGCAAGCAAAAGUCCAUGUUUGGUUUUCAACUUUUGUAAGAGAAUUUUGUAGUUUACUUUGCAUUGUAAAUGUGUUUUGGCACCAGCUAUUGAUGUUUGUUAUUCUAUAUGCAUUUAAUGGUGUAUUUUAUUUACAUUUGUAUUUAUUCCAUAUGCAUUUAUUCUGUAUAUUGAUUUUUGUAUUUUGGGUUCGAUAGUGAUAUAUUACAUGGCUUGUGGUGUUGAUUCCUCAAAAGAUAAGAUUUGUUUGCUUAGCUACCAUCAUUGUUUCAUUGUCAUCAUUAUGAUCACCGAGGAUCUAGUACGAUUGGACUAAGGCAGGUAGGUAUAUGACUAGCCCCUCAACUUCCCACACAGUAACUCACUUGGUUUUGCCUCUUGGUUUUGGGUUGAGAUAACACAUUCUCUUUCUCUCUCUAGACCUAUGACAAUUUGGGACUUUGGUGUUUGGUUGGAGAUGGGUUAAGGGUGUGGAGUAUUGGCAGUGGGAGUGGCAAGGAGCAAAAUUUCAUUUCGUUUGCAUCAAAAUGGCUGAAACAUUUUCAUUUCCUAAGAAAUUGACACGAAACAUUGGUAGAGAAUUUGGUGAAAUAUACCGAAUUCUAGUGUUUUCAUCCAAAUAUACCCAAACACCUAAAUUUACUUAAUCGUUAUGAAACAUUAUGAAACAAUGAGUUGUUUGAACACCUAGUAGGAAUAUCUAAGAAGAGCUAUUUCCCUUUGCAUCCUUUUGUUAAAAGUUGUUUUGAGACAGACAAAAUCUUGAAUUUAUGAGAGAAUUUGUGAUAGUAAAUGGAGAAGAUGAGGGAUAUGGUGGUGAAGAAAACAGACAUGAUAGCAAAGCCCGAAGCCAAUUAACCCUUUAACCUUUUUUGUUUAUGAGUUUUAAAUAUUCAUAGACUUUUAUGGACCUUACUCUUGAGCUUGUUGAAAAAAUAAAAUAAAUCUUAUUUCCCCAAAACUAUGAAGCAUGGGCGGGUAUGGAUACUGGCAGGGGUAUGAUAUGGGUAAUAUUGACCAAAUAACAGAUAUCAGAUCCUAAUUCCGCCCUUGUUCAAGAUAUUAAUGUAAAAAGCAUUUUAGUGAUGUAUGCCUAAAUUAACUUUUUGUAGUUUGCCUAGAACUGUUGACAAAAUAACAGAACAAGAUAUCAGUGUUCCAAAAUUGCAAGUAGUUUCGUGAAAAGAUAUAUUAUCCUAUGUGUUCCCAAACCAACAAAACAUGAAGAAAAUAAGUACAAGAAGUAUUCCAUUAUGAUUAAGGUUGGGGAAUGCAGUUCGUUAUUGCUAAUUACAUUGGAGUUUAACCUUAUAAUCAGUUUGACUAUAAAUCUCAAUCCCUUUCUUUAAAGAUUAAAAAUUGUCACCAAAAAGAUAAAUAAUAAAAAAAAAAGAAAAAGAAAAAAGAAGAACAGAAAAAGUGGUGCAAGGCCGUACUUUAUCUUUCUCAAAGUCAAGGUAAGAUUCAGAUAGGUAGCUACUUAUUUACUUCCAUAUCUCAUAUAUUGUCCCAUGAGAAGGCCAUCUGAAUGGAAGGCCUCCUCUGCUUUCUUCUUUUUUUUUUGGGUCAAAUAAAAUGACUGAAAAUUUUAUUUUUCUUUGGUUUUAAAAAAGAAAAAAGAAAAAAAAGAAAGACCCACUCCAACUCAUUAUUUUGAUUUAAUUAAGGCAUUGCAUUUGAUGUACAAUAAUGAUUCUUGUGAACUUGAUAGAUAUUGAAUUGCAGUAAGCUCAAGCAACCUCCUUUAAUACCUGUCAUCUCUCCAACAUUAGAGUUUUACCUAUGAUGGAAUUCAUCCCUCCUCCCCUCUAUUCAUGUGGAGAGUUUUGGGGCAGAGGUCAUCCGCUGGUCUUGCUGUUAGUUGGGAGCCAGUUACUUUCUGCAUCUACUUCUUUUCUUGGUAUAUUUUUUGGAAUUGUUUAGGAAACCUGAAAGUUUUGCCUACUGUUUCAAUAUGGUGUUCUGGUGGUUCAUGCUAGUGAAACCAUUCUGCUAAUUUUGAUGUUGUUGCUGCUGACCUAUGGCUCUUAUCUGUGUAUGCUGUACAUUGUUCCUCAGACUAAACCAAUUUUCAUAAUCAUUAGACCUUUUUUGUUUUGGGGUCAUUCGAGAAGAUACAGGAAUUAUCAUCAAAUCAAGGAUACAAGACACCCUUGGUCAAGCCCAGUUGAAUCAAAUAUCAGGAAGGAUUGCUCAGGUGCUGAAAGGUCUACAAAGAUAAAACAGUAUGAGAACCUUCACUUAGCAACAUCAGUACCAUAAGUUCAUAACAUUAAAGUUGAAUACAAACUAAAAUAAAAUGAUGCUGUUUGGUAGUGCAACUUAGAAGUUCUGCAAUAGAGACUCAAAAACCUUGCUAAAACACACUUGAAAGUCCAACGUAGACUCAGUGCUCUGUUAAUUAUUAUGUGAAACAUGAUUUGUUUUUCAACAAAUCCAGGGUCUUAUAUAUGAAGUCUUCUCUUUGCUUAAUAGUUAAUACCAUUUAUACAAAUUUGAGAAGAGAACACAUUCAUUAAUGCAUUUUGGCUUGAAUAAAUUGUCUCAUUAUAGUGCAUUAUGACAAUACAGAGACAUCUAUGCAUUGUGGUGUCCAUGUUCUUGCAUUCAUGAAUCUUAGUUUGUGUUUAAUGAGACACAUAUCAUCUACAAUUAGAGCAAGUAACACAAAAUCCAUGCUUUUCGUAUAACUUGCCCCAUUGUCAUUUAGUUUUUGUUUUUUCUUUCCCCUCAAGAACAUGCUGCUAAAGUUUGUGUAUUUUUAUGUGAGGAAACCUAUUUUGAGAAGUACAUGAAAUAAGCCUCAAUUAUUUUUGUUCGCGUAAUUGCACUAAACUGUACUCAACUUGCACCAAAAUUGUGAAUCUAUUCACUGUUUGGAGACAGUUUUUGAAAAAUAAAUAGAAAAAGCAGAAACCUCUUCUGUAAGAGAAGUGAAAGGAAUUAUGGCUAGAGUCACCAAGAAUUCUUCAAUGGUUUUUCCAACAAAGCUGAAAGGUACAUCUCCCGGAGCUCCGGCCCUCGAUCAAGCUUCCGUCCCACAACCCACUUCACUUUCUUGAAUCCAAUGCUAUUAAUCAGCGGUGCAUAAACCUCCUCCAACUGCUCACCCACACAAAAGAAGUGGUCAAGCCAGAACAACCCACCAGGCCUAAGCACCCUGUAGAUAUCAAAAAAUAAGAAGUGUAGCAGCGUUGUUGGAAUCCAGUUACUCAACACAUGCAUUGAGUGCACAAUGUCUAGUGUGUUGUCGAAGAAGGGAAGUCUCUGAGAAAUGCUUAUAUACAAAGCAAAUGUUGCCACACCGCCUCCAAUGUCAAGCCCUAUUCGGAUUGUGCCUGGCUUCUUUACUGCUAAUACUUCGUCAAUGGAAAAGUCAACUCCACCACCAAUUUUUGGUCCAGCCCAGCGUGUUUUCUCUACACCUUCAAGGUCAAAGCAGUCUUUACAAUCGUCGAAGCCCUUCUGGGUCCUCAUACGGUUGAUGAGACAUUGAUAGUUCUUGCAAGUGUAUGCUGUCCAGACCACCGAUGAAUCAGAUGGUGUGGACCAGAAGCUAGCAGGAAGAGGGUAGGGUUCCACGUACUCCUGCUGAGAAGCUGAACGGCAACGGCGGCGAGGCAGUGGUUCACAGCCUUUAAGAAGGAGCUUUUGGGCUAGGAGUUCAUCAUCAGGGCAGGAACCAUUGACCUUGUAUGACAUGUAACGGCGAAGUUCAUUGGGGAAGAGGGUGCAUGGCUGCCCAACUGGGGGGAUAAUUUUUUCAGAAUCAAAGUUAGUGUUGAAUCCAAAUGGAAGCUGUUGAGGAGAUGUAAAGGCUAUGAAUUCGGGUGGGAGGUCUGAAGUAAUUUGAGAAUUGUCGGUUAUUACAACAGUAUCAUCUUUAAGCACCGACUUGGCAACGAUGGCAGCGGUGAUGGUAGUGGCAGCAGUGGGCCAAUGGUUAAGAGAACAAGAAGAAUAGAAAGUGGAGGAAAUGAACAAGGUGAGGAGAUUUGUAGACAAAAGGAGAAAAAGGAAGAACAGAUGGGUGGAGAGAGGCUUAGGCUUAUGAGGUGAAUCCAUAGGUUGUUUUUCGUACUGAUAACUUAAGAGUUGAAGCUGAAAAUGGUUUGUUUGAUAGGAGGUGAGUGGAGGGUUUCCUUGUAUAUGACUAAUACAAAUAUAUCAAAUGAUAUAUAUUGAAAGUCCCUUUGAAUAUGAUUAAUGGGUUCCCAUUUGUAAUCAAGUAACAGUUGUUUUGGAAGUAAAUGAUGAUCAAAGUAUUCAUGGA